GGAUGUGAGGGUGAUCUGGCUGCGACAUCUGUCCCCCCAUUGAUCACCAGGGUUGAUUUCUGGCUGGCUAGGUGGGUGUCCCCUUCUACCCUCACUGCUCCAUGUAGUCCCUCCCGAAUCUGCUCAGUGGAAGAGGAUGAUCUUCCCUGAUAGAGGAGGACCGUUCUUCGGUCAAGGGUAUACGAGUAGCUGCACUCCCCGGCUAGAACCUCCAAACAAGCUCUCAAGAAGAGCAAGUCUGGACACAUGCUAAGGAAGCAUUAGGCAACAGAAAGGAGGAGAAUCUCAGACAAAAGCCCAGCCUCUGCUU
Molecule: small nuclear RNA, 310 nt
Filed under: Prolemur simus (greater bamboo lemur)
Lineage: Eukaryota; Metazoa; Chordata; Mammalia; Primates; Lemuridae
Description: 7SK RNA (ENSPSMG00000000503.1)
Rfam family: 7SK RNA
About the family: 7SK was discovered as an abundant small nuclear RNA in the mid-70s but a possible function has only recently been suggested.
Source: Rfam by way of RNAcentral